GUUGAUAAAUGGUCAAAGAAACAUGGAUAAUGUACUUUGGAUUGAUGUUUAUUGUUCAUGUAUAAACUUAUGUAUUAGUAUGAAACUACCAUAUGACUUAUUAGAUGACCAUAUGUACUGGACUGUUUGGACAAUCAUUAAUGGACAAGUCUGUCUUUGAUUUGUUGUGAAUGUGUUUAUAACUCGAUAAAAUUGUCUCAACAUGUCUAUACACAUGUGGAUAAAUGGUCAAAUAGACAUGGAUAAUGUACUUUGGAUUGGCGUUUAUUGUUUAUGUAUAAACUUAUGUAUUAGUAUGAAACUACCAUGUGAGUCAUUUGAUGACCAUAUAGACUGGACUGCUUGGACAAUCAUUAAUGGACAAGUAUGUCUUUGAUUUCCUGCGAAUGUGUUUAUAGAUCGAUAAAAUUAGCACUUUUUUGUUUGCUCAUCUAACAUUAUCAUUGGAGCCCAACUUGAUACAACCUCUCUAGCUUCUCUUCUUCCUCUCUUACAAUAAACAGAAUAAUCAUCACCUUCUCUUUCAACCUCUCUACAUUCCUCCCUCGACGUCACAGUUACAUCGGCCGAUGAAGAAAUCGGAGCUACAAAUCCAUCAACACCAAUCGGUAUAUCAAGCCUUGUAGGUCGUUUCCUUUUUAAAACUUCUUCCGGAGGAGACGAUGCAGAAACAGAGUCGGAUCCAAACGAUAACCCGAAUCAGGGGGAGAUUCCUAAUCGACUUCUACGUCAUCUCUCCAAUCACAGUGGCGGUUAAUUCGCUGCAAAAAACAUCGUCACAAUGUCUUGGUUAAGGCGGAGGCAACUCAAUUUAAAUUGUUCCAGAGGUUUUGUUUGAAGGGAGAGAGAUCGUUGCACAGUAAUAUUAACCAAUUCAAGAAACAGUGACCCGGAGAUUCCGAGACUUUCCAUAGUAAUUGCUUGGUCGGAAGAAUUAACAACCAUCGACAUUGAUAUUGUGAGAUAAUUUCAGUCGGCGAAGGCAACUUCCUUUUCUCAUCUGUAAAUAUCAACUGUCGAUUUAUUAGAAGGGAACCAAAUCAAAACAAAAUCUUUCUAACCGGUUAAGUAAAUUUUUGGUUUAGAUGGGUGGGGAUAUAAUUGUCCAUUUAUUUUUCAAAAACAAGGAAAAAUGCCUUGUACGUGAGAAGUGCCUCAAAAGGAAUAAAAGUUUGUAGAAGUGCCUAAACAUGUCCAAUUCCCAAAUAAAUAUCUUGA
Molecule: small RNA, 1218 nt
Filed under: Arabidopsis thaliana (thale cress)
Lineage: Eukaryota; Viridiplantae; Streptophyta; Magnoliopsida; Brassicales; Brassicaceae
Description: ATSL215220
Source: RNAcentral